This 1179-nucleotide long non-coding RNA is filed under the name Homo sapiens (human). Its description in RNAcentral is "HSALNT0296192". The record is from RNAcentral. Lineage: Eukaryota; Metazoa; Chordata; Mammalia; Primates; Hominidae.
AUUCCAGGUUUGGGCUGGCUGGCUCUUCCCCACCCUAUGCCUGGGUCUCAACUUUCCUUCCUAUGUGAGCCUGGCCUCUGAUCUCAGGAGGGGAAACUGAGGCUGGCACUUGCUGACACCCAGCCAUCAAGAGCAUCUUUAAGGAAGUAUCUUUUCUUUAUGAGGGGCCUUUCUCCAUCAGUAUCCCCUGCUGGGACUUACAGAUGUGAAUGUAGGGGAUCGUAGAGGUGGGUCUGUGAGAAGGAGGAAGGGAGUUCCUACUAAAAGGACUGCCAACCUUCUCACCACUACCCCCAGCCACUCCCCUGGGCCCCUCAGCAGCUCUGGCCCCCCAAGGAGGCCUCUCCCUGGGAAUCUCUGUCAGGGCUCUGCUGCUGCCACCACCAGAAAAACCAGCUCUGGCUCCAGGCCUGGCAACAAUCUCCACCGAGAGCUGGAGUAUGUGGGUGAGUCUGGGGUGAGAAAGGACCUAGGAGGGACGCACCGAAGCUCACCAUCCAGGACAGCCAGACCCAGUGACCCUUCCAACACCCCAGCACCCCACUUCAGCCAGGCCUGGACCAUCACAGAGUCAUCGUAUUUCAGAGCUGGAAGGUCAAUAGAGAUCAUCUGGUCCUAGCUCUCGGUCUACUGAAGUCUGGUUUCAUCGCUGCCCAAGGUUACCAAAUAGAUUAAUAGCAGAAACGGGAUCUGGACCAAGACUCCUGACUUCCCAGUCCAAGGAUUUUUUCAGAGACAUGAAACAUUCCAGGUUCCUGGGAGCCAUUAAGGAGAGUCUACACACAGAAGAGCCAGAAUGGGGGUGGUAGUGGAGGUAGGACCAUCUGAUCCUCAGGCUAGGAGCCUCCAGCCCCCAGAGCAACCUCAGCUCUGUGCAGGUUGUAGCUGCUGCAGCAGCAGCAGAGUGGCCUCCUACCAGGUGCCAGCUUCCUGGGGCAAUCUGGAGCCAGGCUUCCUCCCUUACUGCCAGGCAUUGCAUGAGGUCUAACUAGAAGGGGGUCUCCUGUCCCCUUCCCUGGGCUUCUCUUAGUAAGAACAGUUUUGCCAUCAUGGAAAAGAAAGGCAAGAACCAUGUGAUGCAGUCACCAUUGCAUCUCCAGCAUCUAGUAUCCAGGUUGUACCCAGUGUGCACUCAAAUGUACUAUUCUUCAAUGAACUUAGAGUGAGAACACCAAGACA